AAUGAACGUUGGCGGCGUGGAUUAGGCAUGCAAGUCGAGCGAAAAGCCCCCUUCGGGGGGCGAAGAGCGGCGGACGGGUGAGUAAUGCCUAGGAAUCUGCCUGGUAGUGGGGGAUAACGUUCGGAAACGGACGCUAAUACCGCAUACGUCCUACGGGAGAAAGCAGGGGACCUUCGGGCCUUGCGCUAUCAGAUGAGCCUAGGUCGGAUUAGCUAGUUGGUGAGGUAAUGGCUCACCAAGGCGACGAUCAGUAGCUGGUCUGAGAGGAUGAUCAGCCACACUGGGACUGAGACACGGCCCAGACUCCUACGGGUGGCAG
Molecule: ribosomal RNA, 319 nt
Filed under: uncultured Pseudomonadota bacterium
Lineage: Bacteria; Pseudomonadati; Pseudomonadota
Description: bacterial SSU rRNA
Rfam family: Bacterial small subunit ribosomal RNA
Source: RNAcentral